Molecule: ribosomal RNA, 253 nt
Filed under: uncultured bacterium
Lineage: Bacteria
Description: partial 16S ribosomal RNA
Rfam family: Bacterial small subunit ribosomal RNA
Source: RNAcentral
UACGUAGGGUGCGAGCGUUAAUCGGAAUUACUGGGCGUAAAGCGUGCGUAGGCGGUUCGUUAUGUCUGCUGUGAAAGCCCCGGGCUUAACCUGGGAAUGGCAGUGGAAACUGGCGGGCUUGAGUGUGGCAGAGGGGGGUGGAAUUCCGCGUGUAGCAGUGAAAUGCGUAGAGAUGCGGAGGAACACCGAUGGCGAAGGCAGCCCCCUGGGCUGACACUGACGCUCAGGCACGAAAGCGUGGGGAGCAAACAGG